AGUCGAGCGACAGAUAAGGAGCUUGCUCCUUUGAAGUUAGCGGCGGACGGGUGAGUAACACGUGGGUAACCUACCUAUAAGACUGGGAUAACUUCGGGAAACCGGAGCUAAUACCGGAUAACAUUUAGAACCGCAUGGUUCUAAAGUGAAAGAUGGUUUUGCUAUCACUUAUAGAUGGACCCGCGCCGUAUUAGCUAGUUGGUAAGGUAACGGCUUACCAAGGCGACGAUACGUAGCCGACCUGAGAGGGUGAUCGGCCACACUGGAACUGAGACACGGUCCAGACUCCUACGGGAGGCAGCAGUAGGGAAUCUUCCGCAAUGGGCGAAAGCCUGACGGAGCAACGCCGCGUGAGUGAUGAAGGGUUUCGGCUCGUAAAACUCUGUUAUUAGGGAAGAACAAAUGUGUAAGUAACUGUGCACAUCUUGACGGUACCUAAUCAGAAAGCCACGGCUAACUACGUGCCAGCAGCCGCGGUAAUACGUAGGUGGCAAGCGUUAUCCGGAAUUAUUGGGCGUAAAGCGCGCGUAGGCGGUUUCUUAAGUCUGAUGUGAAAGCCCACGG
Molecule: ribosomal RNA, 564 nt
Filed under: uncultured bacterium
Lineage: Bacteria
Description: bacterial SSU rRNA
Rfam family: Bacterial small subunit ribosomal RNA
Source: RNAcentral